GAAACAAUUUGUAUCGGAUUAGACCACCUGUUCUACAUACACUUUGGUUUUCUAUCUAGCAUUUUUGAUAAUACCCGGUUUUUUUUUUAAUUUAACGUACAAGAAACAUAUAAAAUCGGCUUGGGCGGGAAAGAUACAAAUAGCGAAUAGAAUUGGUUUCUGAACAACUCAUUUCGAUCAUUGGUUUUGUCUUAUGGAUGCGAAUAUAGAAGACAUGGAUAUCGCUUUCGGUGAUGUUAACCUACAUGGUGGAUCUGAUAUGAUAUUUGAUGAAGAAUUACUAGAUAGCCCCGAUCCUAAGGCCAUCUAUGAUCAAGAGCCGGAUUUGUCGGAUUCUAGAAAUAGUGCAACAAAAGUGAAUCGUAAUGCAUCCAAUACAACAAUCGUAACGCGGCUUAACAGAAGCUUCCCAGCAGAUAACGCCGAUACCGCAGCGGAAUCGAUUCGAUUUCCGCUACAAGAUGCUAAAGAUACCAACG
Long non-coding RNA from Anopheles merus, 479 nucleotides. RefSeq lists it as uncharacterized. Lineage: Eukaryota; Metazoa; Arthropoda; Insecta; Diptera; Culicidae. The transcript is spliced from 3 exons. The record is from RefSeq and is a predicted model, not a curated record.